This 1015-nucleotide ribosomal RNA is filed under the name uncultured bacterium. RNAcentral's name for it is "bacterial SSU rRNA". It matches the Rfam family "Bacterial small subunit ribosomal RNA", at positions 359 to 1376 of the family's 1533-position model. The record is from RNAcentral.
GAAUAUUGGUCAAUGGGCGGGAGCCUGAACCAGCCAAGUAGCGUGAAGGACGACGACCCUACGGGUUGUAAACUUCUUUUAUAAGGGAAUAAAGUUCGCCACGUGUGGUGUUUUGUAUGUACCUUAUGAAUAAGCAUCGGCUAAUUCCGUGCCAGCAGCCGCGGUAAUACGGAAGAUGCGAGCGUUAUCCGGAUUUAUUGGGUUUAAAGGGAGCGUAGGCGGGCUUUUAAGUCAGCGGUCAAAUGUCGUGGCUCAACCAUGUCAAGCCGUUGAAACUGCAAGCCUUGAGUCUGCACAGGGCACAUGGAAUUCGUGGUGUAGCGGUGAAAUGCUUAGAUAUCACGAAGAACUCCGAUCGCGAAGGCAUUGUGCCGGGGCAUAACUGACGCUGAGGCUCGAAAGUGCGGGUAUCAAACAGGAUUAGAUACCCUGGUAGUCCGCACGGUAAACGAUGAAUGCUCGCUAUGGGCGAUAUAUUGUCCGUGGCCAAGCGAAAGCGUUAAGCAUUCCACCUGGGGAGUACGCCGGCAACGGUGAAACUCAAAGGAAUUGACGGGGGCCCGCACAAGCGGAGGAACAUGUGGUUUAAUUCGAUGAUACGCGAGGAACCUUACCCGGGCUUGAAUUGCAGGUGCAUGAGUCAGAGACGGCUCUUUCCUUCGGGACUCCUGUGAAGGUGCUGCAUGGUUGUCGUCAGCUCGUGCCGUGAGGUGUCGGCUUAAGUGCCAUAACGAGCGCAACCCUUCUCCCCAGUUGCCAUCGGGUAAUGCCGGGCCCUCUGGGGACACUGCCAUCGUAAGAUGCGAGGAAGGUGGGGAUGACGUCAAAUCAGCACGGCCCUUACGUCCGGGGCCACACACGUGUUACAAUGGGGGGUACAGAGGGCCGCUGUCCGGUGACGGUCGGCCAAUCCCUAAAACCCCUCUCAGUUCGGACUGGAGUCUGCAACCCGACUCCACGAAGCUGGAUUCGCUAGUAAUCGCGCAUCAGCCAUGGCGCGGUGAAUACGUUCCCG